GACGAACGCUGGCGGCGUGCUUAACACAUGCAAGUCGAACGGAAAGGCCCUGCUUUUGUUGGGUGCUCGAGUGGCGAACGGGUGAGUAACACGUGAGUAACCUCCCCUUGACUUUGGGAUAACUUCAGGAAACUGGGGCUAAUACCGGAUAGGAUCUCCUGCUGCAUGGUGGGGGUUGGAAAGUUUCGGCGGUUGGGGAUGGACUCGCGGCUCAUCAGCGAGUUGGUAAGGUAGUGGCUUACCAAGGCUAUGACGGGUAGCCGGCCUGAGAGGGUGAUCGGCCACACGGGAACUGAGACACGGUCCAGACUCCUACGGGAGGCAGCAGUAGGGAAUCUUCCGCAAUGGGCGAAAGCCUGACGGAGCAACGCCGCGUGAGUGAUGAAGGUCUUCGGAUCGUAAAACUCUGUUAUUAGGGAAGAACAAAUGUGUAAGUAACUAUGCACGUCUUGACGGUACCUAAUCAGAAAGCCACGGCUAACUACGUG
RNAcentral lists this ribosomal RNA (488 nucleotides) under uncultured bacterium. RNAcentral describes it as "partial 16S ribosomal RNA". It matches the Rfam family "Bacterial small subunit ribosomal RNA", at positions 28 to 507 of the family's 1533-position model. The record is from RNAcentral.